This 253-nucleotide ribosomal RNA is filed under the name uncultured bacterium. Its description in RNAcentral is "partial 16S ribosomal RNA". It matches the Rfam family "Bacterial small subunit ribosomal RNA", at positions 524 to 776 of the family's 1533-position model. The record is from RNAcentral.
UACAGAGGGUGCGAGCGUUAAUCGGAAUUACUGGGCGUAAAGGGUGCGUAGGUGGUUGCAUAAGUUAGGUGUGAAAGUCCUGGGCUUAACCUGGGGAUUGCGCCUGAUACUGUGCGGCUAGAGUACUGUAGAGGGAAGUGGAAUUUCCGGUGUAGCGGUGAAAUGCGUAGAUAUCGGAAGGAACAUCAGUGGCGAAGGCGACUUUCUGGACAGUGACUGACACUGAGGCACGAAAGCAUGGGGAGCAAACAGG